AAAGCAUCAUCCGUAGUAAGUAUAAUGAUCACUACUGCUAUUUCUAGUUAUAGAAUAUCUUUUUUUUCAGAGUUAAUGUCCUGAUUCAGUAAGAAAUGACCAGAGAACUCCAAAACAAUUUGAGGCAUAGAAUUGUAAUAUUCAACAGGUACUAUGAAGAUAGGUUAUGAGAGAGAGAGAGAGAGACAAAGAAAAAGUUUGAGAAAAUAAUCAUGUGUUUGCAUACCUAAUUUUGGAAUUCAGGGGUCUCAGCCAAGAACUCACAAAGGUAGUGGAAAAAUUAUUUUUCUCCUCUCAAGGGAAAAUCCACAAAGGUGGGCAGAGAACCAGAGACAAGUUUGCCUUGAGGUAAGUUACAAAAUCUGCUUUACCCUUUGGUUUUCUUUGCUUUAUAGACUUCUGGGAAUAAAGAGCAAGUCCCCAAACCAGAAGAAGAUCAAAUAAGAG
This 447-nucleotide long non-coding RNA is filed under the name Sus scrofa (pig). Its description in RNAcentral is "lncRNA (ENSSSCG00070024019.1)". The record is from RNAcentral. Lineage: Eukaryota; Metazoa; Chordata; Mammalia; Artiodactyla; Suidae.